GACGAACGCUGGCGGCGUGCUUAACACAUGCAAGUCGAACGGUGAAAGCGGAGCUUGCUCCGCUGGAUCAGUGGCGAACGGGUGAGUAACACGUGGGCAACCUGCCCCUCACUUCGGGAUAACUCCGGGAAACCGGGGCUAAUACCGGAUAUGACCUCCUUGGGCAUCCUUGGAGGUGGAAAGUUUUUCGGUGAGGGAUGGACCCGCGGCCUAUCAGCUUGUUGGUGGGGUAGUGGCUCACCAAGGCGACGACGGGUAGCCGGCCUGAGAGGGCGACCGGCCACACUGGGACUGAGACACGGCCCAGACUCCUGCGGGAGGCAGCAGUGGGGAAUAUUGCGCAAUGGGCGAAAGCCUGACGCAGCAACGCCGCGUGCGGGAUGACGGCCUUCGGGUUGUAAACCGCUUUCAGCAGGGAAGAAGCCGCAAGGUGACGGUACCUGCAGAAGAAGGACCGGCCAACUACGUGCCAGCCGCCGCCGUAA
This 485-nucleotide ribosomal RNA is filed under the name uncultured bacterium. RNAcentral describes it as "partial 16S ribosomal RNA". It matches the Rfam family "Bacterial small subunit ribosomal RNA", at positions 28 to 523 of the family's 1533-position model. The record is from RNAcentral.